ACCCCAAUUUGGACCAACUUGAAAACUGGGCCAAUAAUCAAAAAUCUAAGUACAUGUUUAGAUUCAGCAUAUCAAAGAACCCCAAGAAUUCAAUUUUUGUUAAAAUCAAACUUAGUUUAAUUUUGGACCCUUUGGACCUUAAUGUAGACCAAUUUGAAAAUGGGACCAAAAAUUAAGAAUCUACAUACACAGUUAGAUUCGGCAUAUCAAAGAACCCCAAUUAUUCA
This 227-nucleotide long non-coding RNA is filed under the name Mytilus galloprovincialis (Mediterranean mussel). Lineage: Eukaryota; Metazoa; Mollusca; Bivalvia; Mytilida; Mytilidae. The record is from RNAcentral.